RNAcentral lists this ribosomal RNA (547 nucleotides) under uncultured bacterium. RNAcentral describes it as "bacterial SSU rRNA". It matches the Rfam family "Bacterial small subunit ribosomal RNA", at positions 55 to 597 of the family's 1533-position model. The record is from RNAcentral.
AUGCAAGUCGAGGGGCAGCAUGUCCAGCAAUGGAUGAUGGCGACCGGCGUAAGGGUGCGUAACGCGUGAGCAACAUGCCCUAUACAGGAGGAUACUCCGGGGAAACCCGGUCUAAUACUCCAUAGUAUUAUUGAGAGGCAUCUCUUAAUAAUUAAAGCUUCGGUGGUAUAGGAUUGGCUCGCGUGACAUUAGCCAGAUGGUGAGGUAACGGCUCACCAUAGCAACGAUGUCUAGGGGUUUUGAGAGGAAGGCCCCCCACACUGGGACUGAGACACGGCCCAGACUCCUACGGGAGGCAGCAGUGAGGAAUAUUGGACAAUGGAUGGAAAUCUGAUCCAGUCAUGCCGCGUGCAGGAAGACUGCCUUAUGGGUUGUAAACUGCUUUUAUACGGGAGCAAUAAGGGUUACGUGUAGCCUGAUGAGAGUACUGUAUGAAUAAGGAUCGGCUAAUUCCGUGCCAGCAGCCGCGGUAAUACGGAGGAUCCGAGCGUUAUCCGGAAUUAUUGGGUUUAAAGGGUGCGUAGGCGGCUAUUUAAGUCAGCGGUGA